UAGAUUUCCUCCUUUGGAGUGCUGAAAACCGUAAACCCUAAGUCUUCAUACCUUGGGUAUUUUGGUUUUCUAAACUCCUCAGAUGUCUGGUAGACCUUUCCAUCGUGUUUUGGUCUCCAAGAUGGUUCUCCUUUCUCAAACUUCUGAUAUUUCUUUUUUGGUGCUUCAUAUGCUUUUUUAUUGCUUAUGGCACCUCUCUCUUUUUCUUUUUCUUUCUCAUACUCUUCAGAAUUUAUAUAUUUCUGGGCCUUUGUUAGCAGGUCCUCCAUGCAUUUUACAUUACUGACGUUUAGCUUUAUUGCUAAUGGCGUGUUCAUGUCUAGCCCUUUUGAGUAUGCG
RNAcentral lists this long non-coding RNA (339 nucleotides) under Zostera marina. RNAcentral describes it as "long non-coding RNA (ZMAR_LNC004835)". The record is from RNAcentral. Lineage: Eukaryota; Viridiplantae; Streptophyta; Magnoliopsida; Alismatales; Zosteraceae.